RNAcentral lists this ribosomal RNA (403 nucleotides) under Fusobacteriota bacterium. Its description in RNAcentral is "Fusobacteria bacterium partial 16S ribosomal RNA". It matches the Rfam family "Bacterial small subunit ribosomal RNA", at positions 355 to 776 of the family's 1533-position model. The record is from RNAcentral. Lineage: Bacteria; Fusobacteriati; Fusobacteriota.
UGGGGAAUAUUGCACAAUGGAGGGAACUCUGAUGCAGCGACGCCGCGUGAACGAAGAAGGCUUUCGAGUCGUAAAGUUCUUUUAUAUGGGAAGAUAAUGACGGUACCAUAAGAAAAAGCCCCGGCUAACUACGUGCCAGCAGCCGCGGUAAUACGUAGGGGGCUAGCGUUGUCCGGAAUCACUGGGCGUAAAGGGUUCGCAGGCGGAAAUGCAAGUCAGGUGUAAAAGGCAGUAGCUUAACUACUGUAAGCAUUUGAAACUGCAUAUCUUGAGAAGAGUAGAGGUAAGUGGAAUUUUUAGUGUAGCGGUGAAAGGAGUAGAUAUUAAAAAGAAUACCGGUGGCGAAGGCGACUUACUGGGCUCAUUCUGACGCUGAGGAACGAAAGCGUGGGUAGCAAACAGG